GACGAACGCUGGCGGCGUGCUUAACACAUGCAAGUCGAGCGGUAAGGCCCUUUCGGGGGUACACGAGCGGCGAACGGGUGAGUAACACGUGGGUGACCUGCCCUCAGCUCUGGGAUAAGCCUGGGAAACCGGGUCUAAUACCGGAUAUGACUCCAUGACGCAUGUUGUGGGGUGGAAAGCCUUGUGCGGCUGAGGAUGGGCCCGCGGCCUAUCAGCUUGUUGGUGGGGUGANGGCCUACCAAGGCGACGACGGGUAGCCGGCCUGAGAGGCGACCGGCCACACUGGGACUGAGACACGGCCCAGACUCCUACGGGAGGCAGCAGUGGGGAAUUUUGGGCAAUGGGCGAAAGCCUGACCCAGCAACGCCGCGUGAAGGAUGAAAUCCCUCGGGAUG
RNAcentral lists this ribosomal RNA (395 nucleotides) under uncultured bacterium. RNAcentral describes it as "bacterial SSU rRNA". It matches the Rfam family "Bacterial small subunit ribosomal RNA", at positions 28 to 425 of the family's 1533-position model. The record is from RNAcentral.